UGACGAGUCCCAAAUAGGACGAAAUGCGCAUC
Molecule: non-coding RNA, 32 nt
Organism: Trichobilharzia regenti
Lineage: Eukaryota; Metazoa; Platyhelminthes; Trematoda; Strigeidida; Schistosomatidae
Source: Rfam